Molecule: ribosomal RNA, 327 nt
Filed under: Triticum aestivum (bread wheat)
Lineage: Eukaryota; Viridiplantae; Streptophyta; Magnoliopsida; Poales; Poaceae
Description: partial small subunit ribosomal RNA
Source: RNAcentral
CUAUUCCAAUGCAGAUUUUCCCAACGCGUUUGGGCUGAUGUGGCUUCAUGGAUCGGCGUAAACAGUGCUAUCACUGCAGGCUGGCAUCACGAGAUUUCUGUAAAGGAAUGGUGGUUCAAGACUAUCCUAGAUAGGGGGCCCCCGAGGAAGGCUCUGGCCUCCAUGCUCAUGCUUGUUUCAUGGAAACUCUGGAAUGAGCGCAAUGCAAGAGUUUUUAGGAAUGUCGCUACCACGGUGACCAUGGUCACUGCUAGGAUAAAGGAGGAGGCUCGUAUUUGGGCGCUUGCAGGCGCUAGACACCUGUGUAAUGUAAUGCCGCGAGAGUAG